ACUCCUAAGGGAGGCAGCAGUGGGGAAUAUUGCACAAUGGGCGCAAGCCUGAUGCAGCCAUGCCGCGUGUGUGAAGAAAGGCCUUCGGGUUGUAAAGCACUUUCAGUCGUGAGGAAGGUAGUGUACGUUAAUAGCUGCAUUAUUUGACGUUAGUCGACAGAAGAAGCACCGGCUAACCUCCGUGCCAGCAGCCGCGGUAAUACGGAGGGUGCGAGCGUUAAUCGGUAAUUACUGGGCGUAAAGCGCAUGCAGGUGGUUUGUUAAGUCGAGAUGUGAAAGCCCGGGGCUCAACCUCGGAAUAGCAUUUGAAACUGGCAGACUAGAGUACUGUAGAGGGGGGUAGAAUUUCAGGUGUAGCGGUGAAAUGCGUAGAGAUCUGAAGG
RNAcentral lists this ribosomal RNA (383 nucleotides) under uncultured bacterium. RNAcentral describes it as "bacterial SSU rRNA". It matches the Rfam family "Bacterial small subunit ribosomal RNA", at positions 335 to 704 of the family's 1533-position model. The record is from RNAcentral.